Molecule: non-coding RNA, 938 nt
Organism: Schizosaccharomyces pombe (fission yeast)
Lineage: Eukaryota; Fungi; Ascomycota; Schizosaccharomycetes; Schizosaccharomycetales; Schizosaccharomycetaceae
Source: the annotation of a GenBank genome assembly
GAAGAUUUUGACGAGCUAGGCCAGCAAGUAACUCAACAGCCGCAUGUACACCAUCAAUGAUGGGAAUAUUGGGACCUACGGCAACCUGAAUCUGAUCACGAAUAGCUGCUAAAGCAGCACCACCUAAACAAAUGACAUCUGCACCCUUUGUGUUUGCCAGUUCUUGGGCCUUUUGGACAAGAAGGGUUUCACGCUCUUGUGAAGGCAUUUGCGAAAGUUGCAAAACUGUGCGACCUGUAGAAGCAAUGGCGGCCACUCGAGUGCGCGAAACACCAAAAGAAUCGAGUAAUUCGUAAAGCAAACAUUCGGAACGAUAUGUACUUGUAAGGAUGCCGAUGCGCUGACCAACCGAUAAGGCACUGAGGACAGACGCUUGCACAAUGCCCAUGCAGGGUAAAGCAAAUGACUCACGAAUCAUGUCGACUAGAGGAGUGGGGGAAUAACAGGCAACAGCUAUAGCAUCGACACCAUCCAAGACACUAGGAGUUAGGGCUUGGAAGACUAGAGCAGCUGUCAAGGUUGCCUCUGUGAUGGAGUCGAUGACAGCAGCACCGGGUUGAGGACAAGUUAGAAAGCGCAACUUUACAUCUGAAGGCACUAGGGGAACGAGUUUUUCUUCCAUGGAUGUUGUGAUGAAGGUGGAAGAGUUUGGAUUGAUGACGAGAAUGGUAGGCAUGAUGAGAGAAAAUAGAAAGGUAAGAGACGAAGAGAAAGAAGGUAGAGAAGAGAAAGCGAAGAGAAAAUAGUAAGAAAAAGAGCAAGCAAAGGGGAAAUAGUAGAAAAAAAAAAAGUAAAAGAGAAUGUUGAAGCUGAAUUUACAGAGACACAAAAAAUAAUACAGUUUAUUGGAAAAUAAACCUUUUUUCUAAACUGUUUGUCAAAAACUAAAAUUGAAAAACCAGUGUCACAAUUUAUUAUAAAGUGUAGAAAAUCGAGUU